UACGUAGGGCGCAAGCGUUGUCCGGAAUUAUUGGGCGUAAAGAGCUCGUAGGCGGUUUGUCGCGUCUGCUGUGAAAACCUAAGGCUCAACCUUGGGCUUGCAGUGGGUACGGGCAGACUAGAGUGCGGUAGGGGUGACUGGAAUUCCUGGUGUAGCGGUGGAAUGCGCAGAUAUCAGGAGGGACACCGAUGGCGAAGGCAGCUCGCUGGGACGGUACUGACGCUGAGGCGCGAAAGCGUGGGGAGCAAACAGG
This 253-nucleotide ribosomal RNA is filed under the name uncultured bacterium. RNAcentral describes it as "partial 16S ribosomal RNA". It matches the Rfam family "Bacterial small subunit ribosomal RNA", at positions 524 to 776 of the family's 1533-position model. The record is from RNAcentral.